GACGAACGCUGGCGGCGUGCUUAACACAUGCAAGUCGAACGCUGAAGCUCAGCUUUUGUUGGGUGGAUGAGUGGCGAACGGGUGAGUAACACGUGAGUAACCUGCCUCCUUCUUUGGGAUAACGCCCGGAAACGGGUGCUAAUACUGGAUAUUCACUGGUCUUCGCAUGGGGGUUGGUGGAAAGGGUUUUUCUGGUGGGGGAUGGGCUCGCGGCCUAUCAGCUUGUUGGUGGGGUGAUGGCCUACCAAGGCUUUGACGGGUAGCCGGCCUGAGUGGGUGACCGGUCACAUUGGGACUGAGAUACGGCCCAGACUCCUACGGGAGGCAGCAGUGGGGAAUAUUGCACAAUGGGCGCAAGCCUGAUGCAGCGACGCCGCGUGAGGGAUGGAGGCCUUCGGGUUGUGAACCUCUUUCGCUCAUGGUCAAGCCGCAACAAUGGUUGUGGUGAGGGUAGUGGGUAAAGAAGCGCCGGCUAACUACGUG
RNAcentral lists this ribosomal RNA (483 nucleotides) under uncultured bacterium. RNAcentral's name for it is "partial 16S ribosomal RNA". It matches the Rfam family "Bacterial small subunit ribosomal RNA", at positions 28 to 507 of the family's 1533-position model. The record is from RNAcentral.